Molecule: transfer RNA, 75 nt
Filed under: Phaeodactylum tricornutum CCAP 1055/1
Lineage: Eukaryota; Bacillariophyta; Bacillariophyceae; Surirellales; Neidiaceae
Description: tRNA-Pro for anticodon AGG
Rfam family: tRNA (bases 9-69)
About the family: Transfer RNA (tRNA) molecules are approximately 80 nucleotides in length.
Source: RNAcentral
GUCAUGAUAGUGGUCUAGAGGCAUGAUUCCUGCUUUGGGUGCAGGAGGUCCCGGGUUCGAAUCCCGGUUUGGACC